GAAAUCUCCUAUCUCGGUGCAACUCUCUUUUGAUCUCGCUACAAACAUGUUUUCAUGGCUAAGUUUCUAAUCAAUCUCUCUUUGCUAUAGCUUCCUCUCACUCUCGAUCUCCUUCGAUCACUUUCUUAAUCGAACAACACAAAAACCCUAAACCUCUCUUUCGAUUGCCUGAAACGAUUCCCGACAAAGAACCGUCCUCACUAGCCGCAGAAAUUGAUGGAUAAUCAACCAGAGAAAAUGAAUACUCAUCCUCUCUAUCGUCGCUCAAUGAAACGUUUGCAGUUCAAUGACAACAACAAAAUUCUGUUUCUUUAUUAUUUCUUUCUACUGAGGGAAGAUAUUUCACACACCAAGACAUUCUGUACCAGUAGUGCCAAUCAUCUCUGCGGCCUAGAAUCACCUCAGCACCAUGGGUUCAGCCUAAGAGGCCUUUCCACUCGGGCUUUUCAUUGGUGAGUUGGUUGAGUUCAAACCUGGCCCCAGGUGGAAUCAAAAUACACAAGUAGAAGCAAGAAACAAAUAAUAGAUUAAGCAGACACAAGGUAUCAUCAAUAUUUCAGAGUUAUGCACAGGUUUGGAAAGGUUGGGGCAGCAGCACAUUCUUGGAGCUUUAUGGACACAAUUUGGAGGGAAUGAUAGAAUUUGAAGACUAGGAUUGAAGCAUAUGUUUAAGACUUCACUUAGGUUUUAAUGAGCUUGUAAAUGAUGUUUCUUGUAUCUUGUGAGCAUCUGUAAGACUUGUAUACCAUUGUAACAUUUUUUCAUCUUUCACAACACUUGGCAUUUUAAUAAUCCAAACCAACAUAAUUCUUGUAAAUCUUU
Vicia villosa (hairy vetch) is the source of this 822-nucleotide long non-coding RNA. RefSeq lists it as uncharacterized. The transcript has 4 exons. Lineage: Eukaryota; Viridiplantae; Streptophyta; Magnoliopsida; Fabales; Fabaceae. The record is from RefSeq and is a predicted model, not a curated record.